RNAcentral lists this unclassified non-coding RNA (407 nucleotides) under soil metagenome. RNAcentral describes it as "partial contains 5.8S ribosomal RNA, internal transcribed spacer 2, and large subunit ribosomal RNA". The stretch from base 1 to 120 matches the Rfam family "5.8S ribosomal RNA", at positions 35 to 154 of the family's 154-position model. The record is from RNAcentral.
GAUGAAGAACGUAGCGAAAUGCGAUACGUAGUGUGAAUUGCAGAAUUCCGUGAACCAUCAAAUCUUUGAACGCAUAUUGCGCUCAAGGCUUCGGCCGAGAGCAUGUCUGCCUCAGCGUCGGGUUAAUAUCACUCCAAACAACCCUUGUGGUUUAGUAAGAGUGGACCUGGCUGUCCCAAUGCGCGAGCUGCUUGCAGCUAUCAAAGCGUGAUUGGUCAGCUGAAGUAUAGAGGUUAACGCAAGGACCCUUAUGGGCCGCAACUGGGUAGGCAGCUCACGCUCGCUAUUUCUAGUUGUUGGCUUGGACCAUGUGUUGACCCUCAAGCAGGAAUUAUUAACCUUUAUUUUCUCGACCUGAGCUCAGGCAAGAACACCCGCUGAACUUAAGCAUAUCAAUAAGCGGAGGA